RNAcentral lists this small nuclear RNA (23 nucleotides) under Arabidopsis thaliana (thale cress). Its description in RNAcentral is "snRNA_01198". Lineage: Eukaryota; Viridiplantae; Streptophyta; Magnoliopsida; Brassicales; Brassicaceae. The record is from RNAcentral.
UUGGAAGCUUAAUUGCAAUUUUU